Molecule: ribosomal RNA, 507 nt
Filed under: uncultured isopod gut bacterium
Lineage: Bacteria
Description: bacterial SSU rRNA
Rfam family: Bacterial small subunit ribosomal RNA
Source: RNAcentral
CUUAGACGAACGCUGGCGGCGUGCCUAAUACAUGCAAGUCGAGCGAAUGAAGAGGAAGCUUGCUUCUUCUGAGUUAGCGGCGGACGGGUGAGUAACACGUGGGCAACCUACCUUGUAGCUGGGGAUAACUCCGGGAAACCGGGGCUAAUACCGAAUAAUCAGUUGUACCUCCUGGUACAACUCUGAAAGACGGUUUCGGCUGUCACUACAAGAUGGGCCCGCGGCGCAUUAGCUAGUUGGUAAGGUAACGGCUUACCAAGGCAACGAUGCGUAGCCGACCUGAGAGGGUGAUCGGCCACACUGGGACUGAGACACGGCCCAGACUCCUACGGGAGGCAGCAGUAGGGAAUCUUCCACAAUGGACGAAAGUCUGAUGGAGCAACGCCGAGUGAGUGAAGAAGGUUUUCGGAUCGUAAAACUCUGUUGUAAGGGAAGAACAAGUACGUGAGUAUCUGCACGUACCUUGACGGUACCUUAUUAGAAAGCCACGGCUAACUACGUGCCAGC